GCAAGUCGAACGGAGUUUUAACGGAAGUUUCGGAUGGAAGUUAGAAACUAGUGGCGGACGGGUGAGUAACGCGUGGGUAACCUGCCUCAGUACAGGGGGAUAACAGUUAGAAAUGACUGCUAACACCGCAUAAUAUAGCGAAACCGCAUGAUUUUGCUAUCAAAUAGUUUAUAGGUAUGGAGAUGGGCCCGCGUCUGAUUACGCUAGUUGGUGGGGUAAAGGCCUACCAAGGCGACGAUCAGUAGCCGGCUUGAGAGAGUGACCGGCCACAUUGGGACUGAGACACGGCCCAAACUCCUACGGGAGGCAGCAGUGGGGAAUAUUGGACAAUGGGGGAAACCCUGAUCCAGCGAACCGCCGCGUGAGUGAAGAAGUAUUUCGGUAUGUAAAGGCUCUAUCAGCAGGGAAGAUAAUGACAGUACCUGACUAAGAAGCCCCGGCUAACUACGUGCCAGCCGCAGC
This 462-nucleotide ribosomal RNA is filed under the name uncultured bacterium. Its description in RNAcentral is "bacterial SSU rRNA". It matches the Rfam family "Bacterial small subunit ribosomal RNA", at positions 57 to 518 of the family's 1533-position model. The record is from RNAcentral.